RNAcentral lists this small RNA (2659 nucleotides) under Pan troglodytes (chimpanzee). Its description in RNAcentral is "processed transcript". Lineage: Eukaryota; Metazoa; Chordata; Mammalia; Primates; Hominidae. The record is from RNAcentral.
AUUCAGGGAAUAAAUAAUAAGGCCGGGUAAGCAGCUCAGUGUUGUGGUGCGGCCGGCACUUCUGGUGCCUUCUGCUUCAAGGUAGCAGAGCAGAGCAGGCAGGGUCCGCCUGAGAAGGUAACAUCUCAGCAAAGACCUAGAACUUCACCAGCUUUAUACGGGUUUUCUUUUUCAGAACACAUUCCACUUUAGUGAGGCUUGGAAAAUAUUUAACUCCUGUAAUCUUAAAGUAAAUGGACUGGAAGUGCAGCAGGCUUGGCUCCCACGCGGCACUAAGGAAUCACUGGGAGAGCGUGCAGGGCCCUCCUCAGAGACCUUUCUCUAUUUUCCCAGUGAGGAGACGCAAGCCUGGUUCUGCAAUUCUUUCCAGCUCUGGAGUCUGUUAUGGUUCCCAUCUGAGCUCUAAAGGUAGGGGUGGGCCUGAAGACCCUCCACACUGCCAGUCCUGUGGACAUGGUGGGUGCCCCUCUAGCCACCACUGUCCUCCGGACUGUGCCACAUCACAAGCACUUACCGAGCUCCUCUACAAACCACGUGACAACCAAAUGCAGUGAAAACUGCAGCCCCCCAACCUGCUCCUGCCCAUUGUGUUUUCUGUGGAUCUGUCUGGAGUCCUUGGAGACUCCUGAGCAUGUGCACUGGCAGAGCUGCCUGACUCUUCCCUGGAAGAAGUUCAAAGAGGGUAGCCACGUGUUCAGACCAGGCCAUGGGGUCUGGGGGCUCCGCGACUCCUGAGAGCAAUUCCUGGCUGGACUCUGGCUCAUGUUACUGCCCCCCCCCCCCCCCCAGGUAACCCCGGGGGUGCAGACAACUUGUUGAGGUCCCAGGAGCGGGUUGUCCCCUAUGCUCCUGGGGACAUGGAGGAGAAGGAGGGUCCCAGGAUCCCAGUACUUGUAUGAGUCGCACUGAUUAGCUGAAGCCCAGAGGCUUCUUAAUCAUCCUAAAAAUACAGCCUCCCGGGAAGUGUGGCCUGGCUCUGCAGCUCUGGGUGGCUCGUGCUCUCCCUCCUGUGUGGAGGGGGCCUGGAGAGGUUGGGUGAGCUGAUAGGUUUCAUGUGCAAAGAUGAUUAUUUUCCUGUUCUCAAGUAACCCAACUUUUGCUAGGAAACUAGAAUCAUCUAAUGUUGCAUAGUGAAGUUCUGGGGAAAAUGUUUUCUUCCUUAAAUCUGAGGAGAGAGAUGUUCUAGGAAGGUAGUCUUCAGGCUCACUCUUGAUUCCAGAGCUGGGUUUCAGCACAUGCAGUCCCCUCUCCCUGAAGAGUCCUGGUGGGACCACUCAGAGGUGCCAGCUGAGCCAGUGCCACCUUUCUGGGGAACCCGGACAGUCCGCAGCAGUACAUUAUGCACUCCAGUUCUCAUAAGCCUCGCAUACUGGACACGGCCUGUCUGCAGGGAGGGAGAUCUGAGAAAUGUUAGUGGGAAAUAGGACCGCUGGUGUCCACAUGCAGGGAGUUGGGCUUCCUUCCCUGGCACUGGAAUCCUUGCUGUAACCAGCCGGCUCACAGGCAGCCGUGCCUGCAGGGGGAAUAUUAGAAACUGAUUCUUUGCUAGGUCUUUGCACCUUCGUAUUUCAAAAUUCUCAGACCCUAGGGUACAAGUAGCCAGAUAUCUUCACAAAUGUGCAUCCUUUUAGUUUUUGUUUUCCAGGAGGUGCUUGGAGCAAAGUUUAGUCCUUGGUGCCUGUGACAGACAGGGAUUUCCUAUGGCCUUGGGCUGACCAAAGCUGCUCAGCUCCUGGAGGUGGCUGUUUCUGGAUCUUGCUGUGUGGGGGCCUCAGGUCCCAUGCCUUUCCUCUGCAGGGCCUUUGGACAGUCCUCCGGGUCUAGGCCACAGCCCUUGGGAUGCAACCACAGGGACGUGGGUGUAGAGUCCUGCUUGCUGGGCCUGCAGCCUCCUAGUGCGCCCUCAGCGAAGAGUUCACAUGCUUUUCUUGGAAUGUCCUUCCUCGCUGGCCCCCAGAAGCCUCCUCUUACUUGCUCUGCCAAGUCCUCAGUGCGUUUUCCUGGCUGAGAGCUUUUCAUGUCGCAUAUCCAAGACCAUUCUGCAGCAGCCUCUGGUCCUCAGCUCAGCAGCAGAGGCCUUUGAUCUCUUUCGGCGUUGCCUCUCUUGGCUCUCUGUCCUCAGAACAGGCCGGUCUUCAAGACCGAGGCAGCCCCACGUGGAGGUUACUGUGCACCGUUAACGGGUGAUCUUUCUCCAUCCCAGGUCCCAGGUGUGUGAUGGCGGCUGCAAUCUGUCUUGUGGGUAUUAAUGCAAUCUUCAGUGGUGGCUCCUGUUCUCUAGCUGUUCUACAAAACUGGAGCAUGCUGGCUUGAAAAAACCUUGCCCAGUUUUGAUCCCUUCAAGACUUUGUCACAGCCUCUAUCACACAUCUGUUUUUCUCGAAGAAAAAAAUAAUAAAAAUGUUUUACUCUUUUACACUGUAUAAUUGUAAGAAAUAGCGUGUUAUUUGUGAAUGCAUGGUCUGAAAUUUCUGUACAGUUUGGAGAUAUUUUCAAACGAAACGUAAGAGAAGUCAACAAUAAAACCAAGAAAAGUGAGUAUUUUUAUACCAAACAUUUUAAGUAUGCUGGGAUGGACGAUCUUACACUGGUUUGGAUCACAGUUUUUGUUCUUGACUUUUGAAUGCUUGUAAUUAAAAAUAUCUAUUUUUUUCCUCUG